Helianthus annuus (common sunflower) is the source of this 464-nucleotide long non-coding RNA. RefSeq lists it as uncharacterized. NCBI's taxonomy places the organism in Eukaryota, Viridiplantae, Streptophyta, Magnoliopsida, Asterales, Asteraceae. The record is from RefSeq and is a predicted model, not a curated record. The transcript has 2 exons.
UUAUCAAACCGACACAUACAUUAUCAAACUGAGAAAUAUUUUGUUUACCACCACACAACGCGAGUGGGGCAUAAAACUAGUUUAAAUACACAAAACACUUCACUUUCAUCGGACUCGUCAUCUCUUUCAUUAUUCACACACAGACACAGAAUCAGAGAUGAUAUACAGAAAAUGGAGUUUGCUCACCGGUCCGGCGAUGCUAUUCGGCGGUGUCGCCGGCGCUACUGUCGCCCUCUAUCUCACCUUCCGUAAACAAGACCAGUUUACUAAAACGCCUGCGAACAAGCAAGAGCUGAUGCAUGCUGCAAAGUAGAAGUGUGAGUGGACUUGAAUCUCAAUUCACAAUGUUUGGCAUUUAAUUCAGGUUUUGUUUCUUUUAUGAUCUUAUGGGAAGUAUGUAAUUCAGCUUUUGAGCUACUCAUGGACUUUGAUUUUAUUUGAAUAAGAGUGAUGCUUCCUUUUCA